CAGCCCUCGCGACGCGAGCGGCCCUGCGCUGCGACCGAGACCCCAGGUCAGGCGGGACUACCCGCUGAGUUUAAGCAUAUCAAUAAGCGGAGGAA
This 95-nucleotide ribosomal RNA is filed under the name Rochefortia acanthophora. Its description in RNAcentral is "partial 28S ribosomal RNA". The stretch from base 38 to 95 matches the Rfam family "Eukaryotic large subunit ribosomal RNA", at positions 1 to 58 of the family's 3401-position model. The record is from RNAcentral. Lineage: Eukaryota; Viridiplantae; Streptophyta; Magnoliopsida; Boraginales; Ehretiaceae.